UCGGGAAUUUUGGGCAAUGGGCGAAAGCCUGACCCAGCAACGCCGCGUGAAGGAUGAAGUAUUUCGGUAUGUAAACUUCGAAAGAAUAGGAAGAAUAAAUGACGGUACUAUUUAUAAGGUCCGGCUAACUACGUGCCAGCAGCCGCGGUAAUACGUAGGGACCAAGCGUUGUUCGGAUUUACUGGGCGUAAAGGGCGCGUAGGCGGCAAUUCAAGUCAUCUGUGAAAUCUCCGGGCUUAACUCGGAACGGUCAGAUGAUACUGCUUUGCUAGAGUGCAGAAGGGGCAAUCGGAAUUCUUGGUGUAGCGGUGAAAUGCGUAGAUAUCAAGAGGAACACCUGAGGUGAAGACGGGUUGCUGGGCUGACACUGACGCUGAGGCGCGAAAGCCAGGGGAGCAAACGGGAUUAGAUACCCGGGUAGUCCCUGAGCGGGCUGGCAAGGCGCAU
This 447-nucleotide ribosomal RNA is filed under the name uncultured bacterium. RNAcentral describes it as "bacterial SSU rRNA". It matches the Rfam family "Bacterial small subunit ribosomal RNA", at positions 355 to 825 of the family's 1533-position model. The record is from RNAcentral.